Mycena latifolia is the source of this 91-nucleotide non-coding RNA. NCBI's taxonomy places the organism in Eukaryota, Fungi, Basidiomycota, Agaricomycetes, Agaricales, Mycenaceae. The record is from the annotation of a GenBank genome assembly.
GCACCGGUGGUGUACGGUACGCACCCCAUAAUCUUGAAAGACCUCCGUUGUCGUUGAUGGGGAGCCCGGGGUUCGACUCCCCGCCGGUGCA